CUAAGGUAUGCCUCAGUACGGCGAGUGAGCGGCAACAGCUCAAAUUUGAAAUCUGGCCCUAGGCCCGAGUUGUAAUUUGCAGAGGAUGCUUUUGGUGCGGUGCCUUCCAAGUUCCCUAGAACGGGACGCCAGAGAGGGUGAGAGCCCCGUACAGUUGGACACCAAGCCUUUGUAAAGCUCCUUCGACGAGUCGAGUAGUUUGGGAAUGCUGCUCAAAAUGGGAGGUAUAUUUCUUCUAAAGCUAAAUACCGGCCAGAGACCGAUAGCGCACAAGUAGAGUGAUCGAAAGAUGAAAAGCACUUUGAAAAGAGGGUUAAACAGCACGUGAAAUUGUUAAAAGGGAAGCGCUUGUGACCAGACUUGCGUCCGGUGAAUCACCCAGCUCUCGCGGCUGGGGCACUUCGCCGGCUCAGGCCAGCAUCAGCUCGCUGUCGGGGACAAAAGCUUCAGGAACGUAGCUCUCUUCGGGGAGUGUUAUAGCCUGUUGCACAAUACCCUUCGGCGGGCUGAGGUACGCGCUCCGCAAGGAUGCUGGCAUAAUGGUCAUCAGCGACCCGUCUUAA
Molecule: ribosomal RNA, 563 nt
Filed under: Colletotrichum fructicola
Lineage: Eukaryota; Fungi; Ascomycota; Sordariomycetes; Glomerellales; Glomerellaceae
Description: partial large subunit ribosomal RNA
Rfam family: Eukaryotic large subunit ribosomal RNA
Source: RNAcentral